This 404-nucleotide ribosomal RNA is filed under the name uncultured bacterium. Its description in RNAcentral is "bacterial SSU rRNA". It matches the Rfam family "Bacterial small subunit ribosomal RNA", at positions 29 to 416 of the family's 1533-position model. The record is from RNAcentral.
AGCGAACGUUAGCGGCGCGCCUAACACAUGCAAGUCGCACGAGAAAGGGGGCAACCCCCGGUACAGUGGCGCACGGGUGAGUAACACGUGGGUGAUCUGCCCAGAAGAAGGGGAUAACCUCUCGAAAGGGGGGCUAAUACCGCAUAGGACCACCGGGGCUUUGGCUCUGUGGUGAAAGGGGGCCUCUGUUUACAAGCUCCUGCUUCUGGAUGAGCCCGCGUCCCAUCAGCUAGUUGGUAGGGUAAUGGCCUACCAAGGCUACGACGGGUAGCUGGUCUAAGAGGAUGGCCAGCCACACUGGAACUGAGACGACGGUCCAGGACUCCUACGGGAGGCAGCAGUGGGGAAUCUUAGCGCAAUGGGCGAAAGCCUGACGCAGCGACGCCGCGUGGGUGACGAAGGCC